RNAcentral lists this ribosomal RNA (825 nucleotides) under Micromonospora sp. FS-YC6713. Its description in RNAcentral is "bacterial SSU rRNA". It matches the Rfam family "Bacterial small subunit ribosomal RNA", at positions 67 to 908 of the family's 1533-position model. Lineage: Bacteria; Bacillati; Actinomycetota; Actinomycetes; Micromonosporales; Micromonosporaceae. The record is from RNAcentral.
CGGAAAGGCCCUUCGGGGUACUCGAGCGGCGAACGGGUGAGUAACACGUGAGCAACCUGCCCCAGGCUUUGGGAUAACCCCGGGAAACCGGGGCUAAUACCGAAUAGGACCUGGCCUCGCAUGAGGCUGGGUGGAAAGUUUUUCGGCUUGGGAUGGGCUCGCGGCCUAUCAGCUUGUUGGUGGGGUGAUGGCCUACCAAGGCGACGACGGGUAGCCGGCCUGAGAGGGCGACCGGCCACACUGGGACUGAGACACGGCCCAGACUCCUACGGGAGGCAGCAGUGGGGAAUAUUGCACAAUGGGCGGAAGCCUGAUGCAGCGACGCCGCGUGAGGGAUGACGGCCUUCGGGUUGUAAACCUCUUUCAGCAGGGACGAAGCGUAAGUGACGGUACCUGCAGAAGAAGCGCCGGCCAACUACGUGCCAGCAGCCGCGGUAAGACGUAGGGCGCGAGCGUUGUCCGGAUUUAUUGGGCGUAAAGAGCUCGUAGGCGGCUUGUCGCGUCGACUGUGAAAACCCGCAGCUCAACUGCGGGCCUGCAGUCNAUACGGGCAGGCUAGAGUUCGGUAGGGGAGACUGGAAUUCCUGGUGUAGCGGUGAAAUGCGCAGAUAUCAGGAGGAACACCGGUGGCGAAGGCGGGUCUCUGGGCCGAUACUGACGCUGAGGAGCGAAAGCGUGGGGAGCGAACAGGAUUAGAUACCCUGGUAGUCCACGCUGUAAACGUUGGGCGCUAGGUGUGGGGGGCCUCUCCGGUUCCCUGUGCCGCAGCUAACGCAUUAAGCGCCCCGCCUGGGGAGUACGGCCGCAAGGCUAAAACUCAAAGGA